RNAcentral lists this ribosomal RNA (125 nucleotides) under Papiliotrema flavescens. RNAcentral's name for it is "partial small subunit ribosomal RNA". It matches the Rfam family "Eukaryotic small subunit ribosomal RNA", at positions 1657 to 1779 of the family's 1831-position model. Lineage: Eukaryota; Fungi; Basidiomycota; Tremellomycetes; Tremellales; Rhynchogastremaceae. The record is from RNAcentral.
CCUUUGUACACACCGCCCGUCGCUACUACCGAUUGAAUGGCUUGGUGAGAUUUCCGGAUUGGCGUUGAGGAGCCGGCAACGGCACCUCUUGGCUGAGAAGUUACUCAAACCUGGUCAUUUAGAGG